This 126-nucleotide non-coding RNA is filed under the name Foraminifera environmental sample. The record is from RNAcentral. Lineage: Eukaryota; Foraminifera.
AACGAUACAGAUAUCAAAUCAAAUAUGAAUUCAUCGAAACCAAACAAAAAAAUGAGGAAAAAAUAGUUCAAACAUGUGUUUUUAUUUUACAUUUUUAUUUGAUUUAUUGUUGUGAUUUAUUGAAUA